UACGUAGGGGGCGAGCGUUAUCCGGAUUUAUUGGGCGUAAAGCGUGUGUAGGCGGUUUGUUAAGUCUGAGAUUAAAGCCCGAGGCUCAACCUCGGUUCGUUUCAGAAACUGGCAGACUUGAGUGUGGUAGAGGCAAGUGGAAUUUCUAGUGUAGCGGUUAAAUGCGUAGAUAUUAGAAGGAACACCAGUGGCGAAGGCGGCUUGCUGGGCCAUUACUGACGCUGAGACACGAAAGCGUGGGUAUCGAACAGG
Molecule: ribosomal RNA, 252 nt
Filed under: uncultured bacterium
Lineage: Bacteria
Description: partial 16S ribosomal RNA
Rfam family: Bacterial small subunit ribosomal RNA
Source: RNAcentral